Felis catus (domestic cat) is the source of this 5987-nucleotide long non-coding RNA. RefSeq lists it as uncharacterized. The record is from RefSeq and is a predicted model, not a curated record. The transcript has 4 exons. Lineage: Eukaryota; Metazoa; Chordata; Mammalia; Carnivora; Felidae.
CAUGGAGAAGAUUCCGCAGUGAGCAGAUUGGUUGUCUUCCAAACUCCUAAAAGAAGCCACGUGGUGGGCUUAUUUUGGAAAACACAAAGCAGCAAAAACAGCAGGAAGAGUUACCCCGAGGCAGUUUGAUGCCGUCUCCGGAAGAAACGUGUAACCAUAUAGGAGAAGGCUGUUAAUGCAUCCCCUUAGCCUUCCGAUUCACUGAAUGCCUUGGAGAUGUUCAGCGGGAGGUAAAUGGAAGGCACUACUGCGUGGUGCAGACUAAGGUGCUGAAAGAGGCCAGCGAGCCAGGGUGCUGCAGCACCGCCCCGGUGUAGAAGCAGGAGGCGUCGGGCGGCGCCGGAGGGCGCCGGGCCGCUGCUGCCAGCGUCGGGACGGGGCCCGGACUCGGCCGCUGCUCCACCGCGAAGCGCGGCGCCAGGAAGCGGCCAUCUCUCCGGAGCAGCAGGUGCUGUAAUCGUACCUUUGCAAAGAUUUCUCCUCUCAUUAGAGGAAGGCUGACCACGCCAGGAUGUUUAAAAUGAGGUCGAGAGAAGUGCACUUCGCUCGCGAGCGUGACCCUCUCAUCUGCACCCGCACGCUUUUUAUUGCUACCUACUGAGCCCUGCUCGCCGCGCACCGGCUGCACCAGCCCUGCCCGCCCGUGCGUUCUCGGUUUCCGCCGGGAAGUUGGAAAGCAAGCCCAAAGUCUCGGGAGAACUUACCUGAAACGAUCCCAUUCGACAAGACCCCCAGCUGGUAAAGGAGGCAGCAGCAGCAGAUGGCCUAUCAAUAUCAACAGUGCUCUCAAGUGUUGCCACACCCUUGUGAUGAGCAGUGGGUAAUGUAUGUAAGUGACAAAUCACUGAAUUCUACCCUGAAAUACUACACUGGAUGUUAAGUAAGUAAAAUUUAAAUUAAAAAAAAAAAUGUAUGCAAAAUAUUUUUAAAAAAGACAUAUGAAAAGUCAAGAAUUAAUUAUUUAAUUAAAAAAACAAAGGGUUCCCACAGUUUCCCAUUGUUCUCUCUCUAAUCAACCAUAUAUAACUUAUGCAGGCCAUUUUUCUCUGCAAGUUCUCUUACUAUUGUACUGAGGCAUAUAUAUGUAUAUAAUAGAAUAAAGUAGAUAGUAAAGUUUUAUAAUUCAUCACUUUUUAUUAAAACCAAAGUGGGUAAACAUGCUACAUACAGGUCACAGAAGUGUGCAGGUGACACAUAUCUCUGUAACUUUUAGAAAUGAAUUCAGGACUUGGUGGCGAGAUGUCAAAUUUAAGACUGCUCUGUGGAAUUCAGAUGGUAGUAAUUCUUAAUAAAAUAAUAUUUACCUAAAGUUUAGGAAUACCUGUAAGAAUCAACUUUAUGUUAUUUUAUAUUUUUGUCUUUUAAACAAUCCUAUAAGCCACAUGGAAAUAUAUUUCUCGUUACAUAAGUUCUUGACCUCUCUCAUUAAUUUAAAUAGCAACAUGAAUGACAAAAAACCCCACAACAAACCACUUUCUAUUCUAAUUACACAAAAAUAAAUUUACUCAUAUUGAGUAUUAACUGUAUACAAGGUGCUGAGAGCACGCUUAUACGUAAUCUAUCACUUGAUGGCCAACACAAAUAUGUUUAUAUCUGACUUGUGAAUUGCAAAUUGGUAGGAUAAUAAAUAAAUACAGGUAACUUCCAGACAUAGCUGUGUUCUAAAAUCCUGAUUUUCCUGGUUCUUUUCUAGUUUUAUUUUUGUUCAAGUCAGUUACAUGCCACCUAGUGAUAUUAUAAAGAACUGCAACUUAUUAUUUAUUAUUAUGCAUUUUCCUACAGUGGAUACUGUUCUUCUAACAACUUUCUGUUUUUCUUUCUUCUUUUCCUCUUUACCCCACCCCCCUCCAGUUACAUGCUGACAGGCAGUUAAUUAUAUGGUAGCAUUGUAAUACCUAACCAUUGAUGUAUGCCUGCCCUAGGCUACUCUAACAUAAGUUUGUGCUACUAAUUAAUAGAUAAAAAUCUCAGCUUUGAUAGCCACAAAGAGAAAAGGAAGUGAGAAGGAAAAAAAAAAGAGAAAAUUUUAAGUAAAUACAUUGAAUGUCAAUUAGUUAGACAAAACACAAAAGAAAGUAACUUUUAAUGCAUUUUGAUCUUACUGUAUGAAUAAUACAUAAUUGUAUAUCUUGUGUUACUUUUCCCAUCCUUUCGAGAAAUCCUAUUUAAACAUUGUUAAGUUUAAAAUUUCUCUCAAAGGAAUAAAGAAACCUUAAUGUCUUUACUUAAUAUAAUUUAAGCCGCAGUGUUUCAGAAGUUAGCUGCCUUAUCUACAUCUUUUAUUUUCCAAUAUCAGAAAAAAGAACAUAUCUGAUUAUAGAUUGAAAGAAAAAAAUGCUAUAAUUGAAAUACCUGUGUAAUAAGGUUAUGGACUUGCUAUUAAUACCUGUGUAAUAAGGUUAUGGACUCGCUAUGCACAUUUUCUCAUAUGUUCCAUAUUGACUCUACUAAAAAAUAAGUUGAUUCUACCCUGAGCCAGUUCACUUACAUCAUGCAAAACAAAUAAGGACAAGAAAUACUAUUGUGUUCUCAAUGACUGAAUAAGACAGACUAUAGUAGUAACCUCAGGGUAUAGAAUCAUGAAGUGCUUUCUAAAAUGGAUGGCCUUCACGGCUUGUUAUAAAUAAAUGUAGCAUGAGAAGCUACUUGUGAUAAGUUAUUUGGGGAAGUGCCUUUGUCACCCAAAAUCUCUCUCCAUGUUAGCAAGACAUAGACAUUUUUUUUCAUUCUAAAAUUAAGUUUUGGGCUACACAGUUAGAAGGGAGUUUUACGUGUAAUUGAGCCCACAAAUAGCAGCUAAGGGAUGCACAAAAAGGAUGAGCGCCUCCCCAUCUGUAUCAGAGCCUUUCCUCAAGGCUCAUUUCAUAGCUGUCCUAGAGUCUGAGAUGACGUGGAAAGAAGCACACAUCAAGCAUGGGAAAGAGCACAAAGGGGGACGCCAGAAAAAUACUUUGCCUCCUUGACAACGUUUCCUCAAGUGAACUUCAUCCCUCUUGCAUAGUUCCGAGCUGAAGAUUAUGCCAAAGCUUCUGUCCUUUACUUUCUGGCUUGCCCUAGAUGAAGGGAGGGCUACAGGCAAAAGCCAGCCUCUGUCUGCAUGCAGAGUGACAAGAAGAGCUGGGGGUUGCUAACUUCCUGUGACAGCUUUCCUGGUGGGGCAGAUGUGAGGAGAAUGGCAACAGCAUGGGACCGCAUGCCAUCUUCCAUAUGCCUGCUCUCAGCCCCAGGUCAUGGCUUGAAGCUAAUAUGGCUGAAUCACGGACGGCACGGUCCUCAAAACAACACAUAUGCAGUGACCUUUACGGGUAGUAUUGUAUGUAUAGGAGACCAGGAAGAGAGAGGCCAAUUUAAGUUUGCUAGUAAUGGAAAAAAAGUAGGAACACCACGUUUAUUUCACCGUUUCUGUAAUUCCACAUAAAACCAGUUUCCCUACGAUUUUCUUUUCUACAAAUGGCUUUAUUUCUCUCUACUAGGAAAAGCAACAGUUCAGGCCAGCAAAAUAGGUAUUUUAUAUAUGCGUAUGACUCUAAAGGAUGUUCAGCCUCUAAGAGAUAAAGCAUUAUGUGCAUUAACAGACAUUUAUGCCAAUUUAAUUAAUAGGUAAAUAAACUCCUCAAUAUUUUUCAAGAAUAAAUUACAUUACAAGGAAAGGAAAUUACUUUAUAUAAAAUUUGGGGUGUUUCCUAAGUCAACCUAUUAUCUCUCUUGCACACACAUAAACACCAUGCACACAAACUUGCUUUCUCAUCUUCAAUUUUCUUCUAAAUAAUUGCAGACUUCACAGGCCUGCCCUUGAUGCCAAAAUGAACCCCUUUCAUUUGCUGAUUGAGAUCUGGCUCAACAGCCAAUGUUUCCUGCUGGGUCCUUACAGAGGGUGCAUUCAUAUUUUAUCCCUAAUUUAUUCAUUAUCAAACAUCAAACCUUUGGAAGAUAAAACAAAGACCUAGCGAACAAUGCCCUGAGAACUUACUGGUUUGUUUUCAUCUUCAUCCUCAGAUCAAAGAAUUCUUCAGUAGCUCUACCCACUCUAUCAAUGCAACAUCCAGGUAAUUGGGGGCAAAGCAGGGGAAAUGACAGUCUGGGCCAAAUCAACCUUUGGCAUCCACUGGUGCUCACAAUAAUCUCCAACAUCAAAAGUAUCUAAUGAGGACUCCAGAAUCCAUGGCAUUGUAUUACUUGACCCAAUCUUGUAAUUAAGUAUCAAAAAUCUCCACACUAUUCAUGGGCAUUUACAAAUUACACACUAAAAUCUCUACAUAUGCAAAACAAAAGACCUAGGUCAUACUUUCCUUCUAAGAGGAAAGCUUUAAUGACAGCUCUGGCCAAGCAUCAGAUUUUCAAUAUCCAAGACACCAGGUUCUGUGUUAGUUCUGGUGCUUCAAGAUGGCAUAAUAAUGGAUAAGUCACAUACUCUUAUUUUUAAAAUGGGAUAUUACCUUCCCCAAGGGUAUAUGAGAAGAUGGAUGAAAUCAGAAUGUGAAACUUGCUUGUAGAUGUACAUCAAUACAUACAGUGAUGGUAUUGCUUGCACAAACUAAGUGAUGCAUCAAAGACAACAAAAGCCUCCAUUAUGAUUGGGCUCAAGGAGAAGUGGUUGCAAACCUGUUAUGAUUUGACAUGCUAUGUCUGUACCAUAGUAGCUCUCAAAUAUGUAGAUUUUCUUGCCCUACUUAAAAUUCCAAAAUUAAAAAUUUAUUCUUUGGCUUAAGAUAUAUUAUGUCAAAGGUGUCCUAAUAACAUGAAGAAAACAUAAUCCAGUGAUAGUCUCUUGUGACUGUCACUAAGAAUCAGGAGACAGAAGUCACAGAAAGGCAAUGGUAUACCGAGUGAGAAAAGAGGUAAGUUCGCAACCACCAUGGACAGAAGCCGGAAUAAUCUUUAGAACCCUGGCUGGUUUGUGGUUUUCUGGGGGGUUUCACCAGCAUUGAUGCCAUUUUAGGUCAGUGUUGUUGCUCCAGUGUAAUCAGUGCAACCCUUAAAAGUCCUUUCUGUCAUAUUUUUGUCUUAUUUUAUAAUUUGCAGCCUGAAAGCAAAAGUUUUAUUGAAAUAAACGUUUUAUCGAAAAGUCUGCUCAACAAUGGACUGACAGUCAAUGGAUUAGAUGGAUUUCCCUUCUCACUCCCACACAAAGGCAAUAAAUGUCCCUGAGUGUUGGGACACCCUCUUUAAAAACUAACUCGAAAUGACUUUUGACUAUUCUGUCACCUUCUACUGGUCUUCAUACCUUCUUAAAGAACUUUGGCCCCUUAAUGUGGCCCCAAGGAGAAAAAGAUCAUCUCUUUUUGGCCACUUCCUGCUUAAUGAUUAAGUCAAAAGAAGUAGAGGGUUGUAUACUAAUAUAUAAAAUUCAGGAUUCUACUAGGGCCAUUUCUGAGCUUGAUGUUCCUUUCUUCACCUAAUGGCAACCUCAGGCCAGCCUGGUUGGUGUAGUCUCUAGAUGGCAGUCUGGCUAAAAGGUGAGCUAAGAAACUCAAUUGGAAUUCUGGGUUGUCUACCUAGAUUCUAGUAUUGGACUGAAAUUAUCCUAGAUCAUAAGGAUAAUGACCACUUGGCUGCAUAGACUGUUCACCAAGAUACUACAUAUGCCCAAGUGUGAUACAAUGAGUCUCUGUUUGAUAAAAAUGCCCGUUCCCCUCUUGUACUUGUCCCUUCUUGACACAAGGUCUGGGCAUAGAUAGGGGAAAUCUGGGUAAAAGAUGAAGUUAGAUGGCAGAGAGAGAACCACCUUGGCACCAGGGUCUGAGGAAUACCUCGGACGCCAAGAAUGAUAGGAACGGUAAGGAUAUGCUUUUAAAAAACUUAAGAUAAAAAGACCUGUGAUAAAAUCCUGGGCUUGGGAAAUCUUAAAAAUGGUGAUUAAAAAGUGAGUUGAAGGACACCUGGGUGGCUCAGUCAGUUGAAUGUCUGACUCUUGAUUUUGGCUCAGGUCAUAAUCUCACAGUCAUGGGAUUGAGCCCUGUGGAGUCCUGUGUCAGGCUCCACACUGG